This 262-nucleotide ribosomal RNA is filed under the name uncultured archaeon. RNAcentral's name for it is "partial 16S ribosomal RNA". It matches the Rfam family "Archaeal small subunit ribosomal RNA", at positions 748 to 1009 of the family's 1478-position model. The record is from RNAcentral.
CAGCCGUAAACUAUGCUCGCUAGGUGUCAGGCAUGGCGCGACCGUGUCUGGUGCCGCAGGGAAGCCGUGAAGCGAGCCACCUGGGAAGUACGGCCGCAAGGCUGGAAACUUAAAGGAAUUGGCGGGGGAGCACAACAACGGGUGGAGCCUGCGGUUUAAUUGGACUCAACGCCGGACAACUCACCGGGGACGACAGCAAUAUGUAGGCCAGGCUGAAGACCUUGCCUGAAUCGCUGAGAGGAGGUGCAUGGCGUAGACGUCU